Molecule: ribosomal RNA, 252 nt
Filed under: uncultured bacterium
Lineage: Bacteria
Description: partial 16S ribosomal RNA
Rfam family: Bacterial small subunit ribosomal RNA
Source: RNAcentral
UACGUAGGGGGCUAGCGUUAUCCGGAGUUACUGGGCGUAAAGGGUGCGUAGGUGGUUUCUUAAGUCAGAGGUGAAAGGCUACGGCUCAACCGUAGUAAGCCUUUGAAACUGGGAAACUUGAGUGCAGGAGAGGAGAGUGGAAUUCCUAGUGUAGCGGUGAAAUGCGUAGAUAUUAGGAGGAACACCAGUUGCGAAGGCGGCUCUCUGGACUGUAACUGACACUGAGGCACGAAAGCGUGGGGAGCAAACAGG